Molecule: long non-coding RNA, 261 nt
Organism: Canis lupus familiaris (dog)
Lineage: Eukaryota; Metazoa; Chordata; Mammalia; Carnivora; Canidae
Exons: 3
Source: RefSeq, a predicted model, not a curated record
GGAAGGAGCUGUUCCAGGCUCUCUCCUUGGCGAGUAGAUGGUCAUCUUCUUCCUAUGACAUCACAUCAUCUUCUCUCUGUGCAGACUCAGGCUCCGUGAAGAGAAGAUUCAGUCUGCUUAUGUCACUGCUGUAGGCCCAGUGAAAAGAAAGUGCCUGUGAAAUAAUAGGUUUCUCCAAAUCUGCAUUAAGAAGAUCCAGUGAAAAAUUUCUUUCUAAGUAACAUGUUGACCGGGAAUGGACUUGCUAGAUAUCAAAAUAAG